UACGUAGGGGGCAAGCGUUGUCCGGAAUCAUUGGGCGUAAAGCGCGUGUAGGCGGCUCGGUAAGUCUGCUGUGAAAGUCCAGGGCUCAACCCUGGGAUGCCGGUGGAUACUGUCGAGCUCGAGUCCGGAAGAGGCGAGUGGAAUUCCUGGUGUAGCGGUGAAAUGCGCAGAUAUCAGGAGGAACACCAAUGGCGAAGGCAGCUCGCUGGGACGUGACUGACGCUGGGACGCGAAAGCGUGGGGAGCAAACAGG
RNAcentral lists this ribosomal RNA (253 nucleotides) under uncultured bacterium. RNAcentral describes it as "partial 16S ribosomal RNA". It matches the Rfam family "Bacterial small subunit ribosomal RNA", at positions 524 to 776 of the family's 1533-position model. The record is from RNAcentral.